CCUGAGUAUCACCAUCACUUACAAAGGGCAGCAUAGUAACUUCUUUGAUGUCACUGGGAAAGUGAAAACAGGAAGCAUCGCAGCCCGCUAUGGAAGCCUGGAGUGAUGGGUUUGGGUAAGAGGAUGUGUUUAUCCUGACCCAUCAUGAUAACUUAAUUAUGUUCUUUUUGGGAAAGACCAUAAAAGGCUAAUGUACCCAGGGUUCGUGAUGACACUAAAGGGCACUGGUGAAUGUCCAUCAUCUUUGGGUUUAUCCCGAUACAUUCCUUGUGCUAUCCCUCAGGAAGACUUCCAAAAAGCAUAGAUAACAGCUGGACUUCUGAGUCUUACUCCAAAGGCAGGAGUCUUGUGCUACAGAUCGACGUUUGGCCCUGGGUCAGCGGCGCUCCCUUCAGACCAGUGGCGACUGCCUGAGAGACUUCUGGGCCAAGCAGGCGGUCAUAUAUUUCUUCCUUAAUCCUGUGUGCGUGGGCGAAGCAUCAGGCAAAGGUAUAAAUAAAAUGUUCUGAC
Molecule: long non-coding RNA, 510 nt
Filed under: Zalophus californianus (California sea lion)
Lineage: Eukaryota; Metazoa; Chordata; Mammalia; Carnivora; Otariidae
Description: lncRNA (ENSZCAG00015014568.1)
Source: RNAcentral